RNAcentral lists this long non-coding RNA (1424 nucleotides) under Lathyrus oleraceus (garden pea). Its description in RNAcentral is "Pisum sativum (pea) long non-coding RNA (PSAT_LNC009480)". The record is from RNAcentral. Lineage: Eukaryota; Viridiplantae; Streptophyta; Magnoliopsida; Fabales; Fabaceae.
CAAAACUGUAUUAAAUUCGUUAUUUAGUCAUUUAAAUCAAAAUACAAUUUCAAGAUGAUGAGAUAGCAUUGCCAACUUAUCGGUUACUUUGCAAUGAUGAUGAGAUAUCAAUCAAACCAAUGCAGCCACUUUAACGCUUAUUAUUUUCUUAAAAAAUUAUUAAAUAAGGAUUAAAGCAAUUGAAAGAAAAAAAAGAGAGAAACAUAACAACAGUAACUCUUCAUCACCCAAACUCUAUCUCUUCCUCUCGUUGAUUUCUCUUUGCCCUUGUCAGAGAAAGGCGGUCGGCGGCGCCAUCGUCCCCUAUGGUGAUUCCCUACCUCAAAACUUUACUUUCCCAAAAUAAACCCCCCUUAUAUUUUCAUGUUUGUUAUGAAUUUGAACUCCAUUUUAUCAAAAUCUCAACCUAAAAGGAGAUCGUCCCUCUCAGAAAUCACAACACAAUUAAAAGAAAAAGCAACUAACAACAACAUUCAAAAGACAAGCUUACGGAUUUCGACACGUAAAAGGGAUUGAAGAUAAAACAACAAAGAUUAACGAAGGAGUAAAGAAAUACCUAGAUUCAGGUAAGAAAUUUUCGCCCUCUAAAUCUUGUUUUCUGUUUGGAUCUUCCUCUCUCUGUAUUUGUUGGUUUAUGUUCGUGUUGUUAAAAAAUAUUGCUGCAAUAUUUAGAGUUUGAAUAUUUCUAUAUUUGCUUAAUAAAUUUUUGUGUUUGGACUUAAAUCUGGGAGAUAAAUUUGAGUUUCUGACUGAUAGAGAAAAUAUUAUAUCAGAUUUACUUGGAAAUUUCUUUGGUUUGGUGGUUUGAAGAAAAAAAAAAUAUUUCAGUUUUUCUUCAAAUUCUCUCUGUUUUGAAAUUUGAAAAUGAAAAAUCUCCCCCUCAUACUUUCUGCUACUUGUUAUUUAUAUUCAAGAAAAUAAAUUAGGAUUGUUUGAAUAUAAAAACAUCUUUUGUUUUGGUUCAAUUUUAUUUCUGGUGAAGUUCCUGCUUAAUUGCUCAUCCUAUGUUUCUCUGCUAAAACCUUUUUGCUCUUUUUACUCUUGACUUUUUGAAAUAUGUUUUGCUUAGAAAAAUAUGUUAACGACACUAUUCUGCAACUACUGUAGCAAUAAGACAAAAACCUGUCCAAACCAAAGAGAGCAGAGUUCUGGUUGUGUAGAGGAAAAAAAAGACAAACAAGCUCUUAGUCAUUGUGUAACUAAUACACUUGAAGAGCCCCUUUGAUUUUGUAAUGGUUACUACAAAAAAAAUGUAAAUUAUGUGUAAUAGAGGCUUUGUGGUGUAAUAUAAAUCCCUAUCUUUUUUUUAAAGUUUUUUUUAUGAUGUAAAAAGAAAAUAAUCUAAAGUGUAAAUAAAAUUUUAAUUUUAAAAAAAAUAAAAAUAAAUAAAAUAAUAAUAAAAAAAUAUAAUUAUAAAUAUGACA